This 376-nucleotide ribosomal RNA is filed under the name uncultured bacterium. Its description in RNAcentral is "bacterial SSU rRNA". It matches the Rfam family "Bacterial small subunit ribosomal RNA", at positions 524 to 898 of the family's 1533-position model. The record is from RNAcentral.
UACGUAGGGGGCGAGCGUUGUCCGGAAUUACUGGGCGUAAAGGGUGCGUAGGCGGUCUAUUAAGUUGGAUGUGAAAUCCCCGGGCUUAACUUGGGGUCUGCAUCCAAUACUGGGAGACUAGAGUGCAGGAGAGGGAAGCGGAAUUCCUAGUGUAGCGGUGAAAUGCGUAGAUAUUAGGAGGAACACCAGUGGCGAAGGCGGCUUUCUGGACUGUAACUGACGCUGAGGCACGAAAGCGUGGGGAGCAAACAGGAUUAGAUACCCUGGUAGUCCACGCUGUAAACGAUGAAUACUAGGUGUAGGGGGUAUCAACUCCCCCUGUGCCGGAGCAAACGCAAUAAGUAUUCCGCCUGGGGAGUACGGCCGCAAGGUUGAA